AGCGAACGCUGGCGGCAGGCCUAACACAUGCAAGUCGAGCGCCCGUAGCAAUACGGGAGCGGCAGACGGGAGAGUAACACGUGGGAACGUAACCUUUCAGUUCGGAACAACCAAGGGAAACUUUGGCUAAUACCGGAUACGCCCGUAAGGGGAAAGAUUUAUCGCUGAAAGAUCGGCCCGCGUCUGAUUAGCUAGUUGGUGGGGUAACGGCCCACCAAGGCGACGAUCAGUAGCUGGUCUGAGAGGAUGAUCAGCCUCACUGGGACUGAGACACGGCCCAGACUCCUACGGGAGGCAGCAGUGGGGAAUAUUGGACAAUGGGCGCAAGCCUGAUCCAGCCAUGCCGCGUGGAUGAUGAAGGCCCUAGGGUUGUAAAGUCCUUUUCGACGGGGAAGAUAAUGACGGUACCCGUAGAAGAAGCCCCGGCUAACUUCGUGCCAGCAGCCGCGGUAAGCACGAGAGUA
This 464-nucleotide ribosomal RNA is filed under the name uncultured bacterium. RNAcentral's name for it is "bacterial SSU rRNA". It matches the Rfam family "Bacterial small subunit ribosomal RNA", at positions 29 to 533 of the family's 1533-position model. The record is from RNAcentral.